This 258-nucleotide ribosomal RNA is filed under the name uncultured bacterium. RNAcentral describes it as "partial 16S ribosomal RNA". It matches the Rfam family "Bacterial small subunit ribosomal RNA", at positions 524 to 776 of the family's 1533-position model. The record is from RNAcentral.
UACGUAGGGUCCGAGCGUUUGUCCGGAAUUACUGGGCGUAAAGAGCUCGUAGGUGGUUUGUCGCGUUGUUCGUGAAAACUCACAGCUCAACUGUGGGCGUGCGGGCGAUACGGGGCAGACUAGAGUACUGCAGGGGAGGACUGGAAUUCCUGGUGUAGGCGGUGAAAUGCGCAGAUAUCAGGAGGAACACCGGUGGCGAAGGCGGCGAUCUGGGUAGAUACUGACGCUGAGGUGCGAAAGCGUGGGGGAGCAAACAGG